UUGAAAGGGAAACGAUUGAAGUCAGUCGUACCUAUGGGUAAUCAGCCUUUUGGGUGUGAUUUUGUGGAGCGUGGGGAGUUAAACGCCUUCAUGCCUGCAUAUUCGUGCACUUUGGGUGUACUUGCCCGUGUGUAAGUUAACAUCAAUUUUGGUGGUCAUAAAAUGGCUGGAGGAAUGUAGCUUCGAUCUUGUAUUGAAGUGUUAUAGCCUUCGGUAGAUGUGACGAUCGGGAUUGAGGAUUGCAACGGAUACCCUUCGGGGCUACCUGUCUGAUCUCUGAUUGUUGCUCUGGUGCCGAAAGCUUGCUUACGGUUAUCAAAGUCGAUGGUCAAUA
This 334-nucleotide ribosomal RNA is filed under the name Glomus sp. rp4. RNAcentral's name for it is "eukaryotic LSU rRNA". The record is from RNAcentral. Lineage: Eukaryota; Fungi; Glomeromycota; Glomeromycetes; Glomerales; Glomeraceae.